RNAcentral lists this ribosomal RNA (425 nucleotides) under uncultured bacterium. RNAcentral's name for it is "bacterial SSU rRNA". It matches the Rfam family "Bacterial small subunit ribosomal RNA", at positions 359 to 775 of the family's 1533-position model. The record is from RNAcentral.
GAAUCUUCCACAAUGGGCGAAAGCCUGAUGGAGCAACGCCGCGUGAGUGAAGAAGGUUUUCGGAUCGUAAAACUCUGUUGUUAGAGAAGAACAAGGAUGAGAAGAGAAUGUUCAUCCCUUGACGGUAUCUAACCAGAAAGCCACGGCUAACUACGUGCCAGCAGCCGCGGUAAUACGUAGGUGGCAAGCGUUGUCCGGAUUUAUUGGGCGUAAAGCGAGCGCAGGCGGUUCUUUAAGUCUGAUGUGAAAGCCCCCGGCUCAACCGGGGAGGGUCAUUGGAAACUGGGGAACUUGAGUGCAGAAGAGGAGAGUGGAAUUCCAUGUGUAGCGGUGAAAUGCGUAGAUAUAUGGAGGAACACCAGUGGCGAAGGCGGCUCUCUGGUCUGUAACUGACGCUGAGGCUCGAAAGCGUGGGGAGCAAACAG